GAUAUCUGUUUUAGACAAAUCAAGCUUGCGAUGGUGACAUAAACAAACAAACCGACCCCCGCUGCGAUAAAGUGCAGGAGUCGAGAGUCACUAGUAAGGGAUGAGUUUGAUCAGAAGCAGAGCUCUGGGACGUGUGGACAGACUUUCACUGUAAUGAUGGACAUCCGCUGAUGGACAGAAGUAUAACCCCUGCUGGACAUCGUGCCGGGGCUCGGGGGGGACCCGAAUCAUCCCCACUCCUUCAUUCACACAACACUCACUCAUAUCACAGAGAUCUGGCUGGGAUCAAACCAGCAACCUCUGAACCACGAGGCAGCGCUCUAACCUGUGAGCCACAGAUCUCUUGUCUGAACAUGUGAAGGC
This 363-nucleotide long non-coding RNA is filed under the name Sinocyclocheilus grahami. Its description in RNAcentral is "lncRNA (ENSSGRG00000040804.1)". Lineage: Eukaryota; Metazoa; Chordata; Actinopteri; Cypriniformes; Cyprinidae. The record is from RNAcentral.